RNAcentral lists this ribosomal RNA (466 nucleotides) under uncultured bacterium. Its description in RNAcentral is "partial 16S ribosomal RNA". It matches the Rfam family "Bacterial small subunit ribosomal RNA", at positions 338 to 795 of the family's 1533-position model. The record is from RNAcentral.
CCUACGGGAGGCAGCAGUGGGGAAUCUUCCGCAAUGGGCGCAAGCCUGACGCAGCAACGCCGCGUAAAUGAAGAAGGUCUUCGGAUCGUAAAGUUCUUUUCUUAGGGAAGUAGACUUUGGUUGUGAAUGAUGACUUAAGGUGACGUUACCUAUGGAGAAAGCUACGUCUAACUACGUGCCAGCAGCCGCGGUAAUACGUAGGGAGCGAGCGUUGUCUGGAAGUACUGGGCGUAACGGGCGCGUAGGCGGGAAAUUAAGUUAGAUGUGAAAACUUCGGGCUUAACCUGGAGAAUGCAUUUAAAACUGGGUUUCUUGAGGGCAGGAGAGGAGAGUGGAAUUCCUAGUGUAGCGGUGAAAUGCGUAGAUAUUAGGAGGAACACCAGUGGCGAAGGCGACUUUCUGGACUGUACCUGACGCUGAGGCGCGAAAGCAUGGGGAGCGAACAGGAUUAGAUACCCUGGUAGUC